This 455-nucleotide ribosomal RNA is filed under the name uncultured soil bacterium. RNAcentral describes it as "bacterial SSU rRNA". It matches the Rfam family "Bacterial small subunit ribosomal RNA", at positions 26 to 518 of the family's 1533-position model. The record is from RNAcentral.
AGAACGAACGCUGGCGGCAGGCCUAACACAUGCAAGUCGAACGCCCUAGCAAUAGGGAGUGGCGCACGGGUGAGUAACGCGUGGGAAUGUACCCUUGGGUGCGGAACAACGUCGGGAAACUGACGCUAAUACCGCAUAAUAUCUACGGAUCAAAGAUUUAUCGCCCAAGGAUCAGCCCGCGUAAGAUUAGGUAGUUGGUGGGGUAAUGGCCUACCAAGCCUACGAUCUUUAGCUGGUCUUAGAGGAUGAUCAGCCACACUGGAACUGAGACACGGUCCAGACUCCUACGGGAGGCAGCAGUGAGGAAUCUUGGACAAUGGGCGAAAGCCUGAUCCAGCCAUGCCGCGUGAGUGAUGAAGGCCUUCGGGUUGUAAAGACUCUUUCUAGAUGUGAAGAAUAAAUAGACGGUAGACAUCAGAAAGAAGACUUCCGGCUAACUCCGUGCCAGCAGCCGC